This 492-nucleotide ribosomal RNA is filed under the name uncultured bacterium. RNAcentral describes it as "partial 16S ribosomal RNA". It matches the Rfam family "Bacterial small subunit ribosomal RNA", at positions 29 to 507 of the family's 1533-position model. The record is from RNAcentral.
AGUGAACGCUGGCGGUAGGCCUAACACAUGCAAGUCGAACGGCAGCACAGUAAGAGCUUGCUCUUACGGGUGGCGAGUGGCGGACGGGUGAGGAAUACAUCGGAAUCUACUUUUUCGUGGGGGAUAACGUAGGGAAACUUGCGCUAAUACCGCAUACGACCUACGGGUGAAAGCAGGGGAUCUUCGGACCUUGCGCGAUUGAAUGAGCCGAUGUCGGAUUAGCUAGUUGGCGGGGUAAAGGCCCACCAAGGCGACGAUCCGUAGCUGGUCUGAGAGGAUGAUCAGCCACACUGGAACUGAGACACGGUCCAGACUCCUACGGGAGGCAGCAGUGGGGAAUAUUGGACAAUGGGCGCAAGCCUGAUCCAGCCAUACCGCGUGGGUGAAGAAGGCCUUCGGGUUGUAAAGCCCUUUUGUUGGGAAAGAAAAGUAGCAGGUUAAUACCCCGCUGUUCUGACGGUACCCAAAGAAUAAGCACCGGCUAACUUCGUG